CACGCAGUAAACGAUGAUUACUAGUUGUUUGCGAUACACAGUAAGCGACCGAGCGAAAGCAUUAAGUAAUCCACCUGGGGAGUACGUUCGCAAGAAUGAAACUCAAAGGAAUUGACGGGGGCCCGCACAAGCGGAGGAACAUGUGGUUUAAUUCGAUGAUACGCGAGGAACCUUACCCGGGCUUGAAAUGCAGAUGACAGGGGCAGAGACGCCCCCUCCCCUCGGGGCAUCUGUGUAGGUGC
RNAcentral lists this ribosomal RNA (242 nucleotides) under uncultured Petrimonas sp. RNAcentral describes it as "partial 16S ribosomal RNA". It matches the Rfam family "Bacterial small subunit ribosomal RNA", at positions 796 to 1041 of the family's 1533-position model. The record is from RNAcentral. Lineage: Bacteria; Pseudomonadati; Bacteroidota; Bacteroidia; Bacteroidales; Dysgonomonadaceae.